Non-coding RNA from Caretta caretta (loggerhead turtle), 664 nucleotides. Lineage: Eukaryota; Metazoa; Chordata; Testudines; Cheloniidae. The record is from the annotation of a RefSeq genome assembly.
CCUGCUUAAAUCUGAGCCUCCCUCUGCCCAGGCUGCACCCGGAGACACAAUCCGCAGCCCCCUGGGUCGGUGCAGUCACCAGCCAGUCCCCUGAGAACUUUCCCCUCCCGCACCCGGGAAAAUGGGAUUUUUGCUCCUUGUCAUUGUCGCUGUAGCAGCUCUGGAAGGUGUCCGGUCCCAGACGCUGGUGGAGUCCGGAGGGGGUGUGAAGAAGCCCGGAGACUCUCUCCGCCUCUCCUGCAAAGCCUCCGGGUUCACUUUCAGUAGCAAGUGGCUGGAUUGGAUCCGUCAUGUUCCUGGGAAGGGACUGGAGUGGGUCUCCAGCAUAGAUAGUGCAGGUACCCCAUAUUACCUGGACUCAGGGAAAGGGCAAUUCACCAUCUCCAGAGACGCCUCCAGUAACCUGGUGCAUUUGCACAUCAGCAGCCUGAAACCUGAAGAACCCGGUGUGUAUCCUUGUGCUAGAGAUGGGGGAUCCCACAGUGAUCUACUUCACUACGAAUACCCUAAUGGGAUCCUGCGCUGGAGAAAGUCACUAAAGAUAGUGAAAUACUCUGACUGCCUUCUGCUUCAGUCACACAGUACAAGAAAUUCAGAGAAUUGUAGAAAGGUAGGGCUGGAAGAGGGAGUUCAAGAGGUCAGCGAGCCGACCCUCCUGCACUGA